RNAcentral lists this unclassified non-coding RNA (235 nucleotides) under Hevea brasiliensis (rubber tree). Lineage: Eukaryota; Viridiplantae; Streptophyta; Magnoliopsida; Malpighiales; Euphorbiaceae. The record is from RNAcentral.
AGAAGAGAGGGAUCGUCCUGCAAUAAAUCUCCAUUUCUCCUCUACGUAUGCCCUUCAAGAAGGGAAACUAUGUUCAGCUUCCGAUGCUGAGAGUCUGGUUUACAUGCUCUACUUUUCAUCUGGCGGUGAUAUGCCUGAUCUUGAUUCAGUUGAAGGAGCACUGCAAUGGAGGGAAACCUCUUGGUCAAGAAGGCUAAUCCACCAAAAGCUUGGAGAUAUUUCUACAGUCUUGAAA